UGCAUUGACUUAAUUUUUACCUAGAGAAAAUGUCCAUGUUAUAGAUCUUUGUUAAUUAUUCCCACAUAAUGUGACAUGGUGGCUAUUGAAAUUUACAUGUUGUGACAGAUUCGUUCCCCUGAGGCACUGAAAAAUUAGAAACACAAAAGCAAGCCAUGAAUUUCAUCCAUGAAAUGGUUCAAAAAUAGUUUGAAGUCUAGGUUGGAACACUUGGAUCACAACUCAAAGUUCCCAUUUAAAUGGUUCAAGCACCUGAUGAAGUUCUUUGUUGACCAUGAUUCGUGUGUCAUCGUAAAUAAACCCUUGGACAUUCUUUUCAGUGGAAUAGUAGGCGCAAGAGAGUUGCCUUUAUUGAAGUUUGCACUGCAACAGAUGGGCCUUCUUCACUGAGUGUGGGCGAACUUAUCGACGAAGUAAGAAGCAAGUAAAAAUGAUUAUAGCUUCUUGUUCGUGCUGUCAAGGGCUGCCUAUUUAUUCUUUGCCUUGUAGAGGCUAGAAUUUCAUUCUCGCAAAAGGACUUUGAUGUAUUUAUAUUCUAAUUUCCUUCAUAAUAUUUGCAAUGGAGAAACAAAAUUUCCAACGUCUAUAUUUUCGAGUUUUCUAUAUCAAUUUUCAUAAAUCUGCAUUCGUCCUUAUUGUAUGUUAGG
RNAcentral lists this long non-coding RNA (647 nucleotides) under Olea europaea subsp. europaea. Lineage: Eukaryota; Viridiplantae; Streptophyta; Magnoliopsida; Lamiales; Oleaceae. The record is from RNAcentral.